GUGUAUUUCUUUCUACAAAAUAAAAAUAAUCCAACUUCAUUCGAAUUAAACGUAAAAUUCAACUCUGGUAAAUUGAAAAUCGAGUGCACGGUGUGGCGAGUAAAAUUAGAAGGGUAUUCAACGAAAUUACUAUCGAAAAUUCGAGAUUCUUUCACUGUUGGAGGCAUCGUAAACGCGAAUAAGCGACCCGACUGCAACUCGGCGCAAAUAAAAUCUUAUUGCGGGGGAAUUUUCCUAUUUUCCAGGAAGCAAUUCGACGAAUUAAACUGCCUAACUGGAAUUUUAUCGUCGAUGCGCUACCAAGAAGAGGCAUUCGUAUCGAUGACAUGUCGUAUUUAAACAUCCGUGUAAGCGCGAGGAAAACUUGGGGAGGAAAAAAUCUCGAAGAAAGAAAGAAAGAAAGAAAGGAGAGAAAAAAACGCAUCGUUUAUUCGAGUUUAUUACAUUUACAAGACGUGUAAUAAAUUGUUGAUAAAAGAAUUAGAAAGAAUUUCAAAUUGAAGAAGAGAAUACGAGUCUUUCGUGAUAUUUAAAAAUAGACGUUUAAAGAAACAUUCCUUCCAAGAUACGUGUUUGUUAAUUAGUAUAAUCGAGCAACGUGAGCAUAAAUGAUAACUUAAUCACUUUUUUAAACAGAGACUAUCAUCAAGCAGAUAACUUAUCUCAAAUUAUACGAUGUUUCCUAUUCGAGUUUUAACCACUCAAAACUAGAAAAAUAUUAAUACUUCGCAUUAGUGAUCGACAUUUUUCUCGUUCUUUCUUUACUUUGUCUUCGUCAAUUUGCUUUAAAUAUAUAUUCAUAGUGGAUUCUUUAAUAUUUAUCACUAAAAACAUUUAUAAUUCCAGACUAAAGACAUUGUUUCUUAAUAAUGGAUAAUUUGUUAGGUUAGGUUAAAUUAAAUUGUUAAAUUAGUACAAAAAUUCAAAUAUUGUUGAUCCCAUAGAAUUGAGAUUCUUCUGAUACAUCUAGAAAAGCUUUUUUCCAAUUUCUUUUAAAAUUAAAAAAGAAAGAAAUAGCAUUUCGAUAAUCCAACUGAAUUCUAACCUCAAAGUAUUUUCUCAUUCAUCAAACUCAAGUUAAAUUACAAUCUAAAUCAAAGAUCAUCAACGCCUUGAAAAUAAGUUUUCCUCUUUAAGAAAACAUAACUUAAACUUAACCUCUUCCAGAGUUGGACAUUAGCCCGUUGAAAAACUAACUAAUUAAAACAACAAAGUUUCUUUAAGCCUUAAUAACCUUACUUACGAAUUCUCGAAUAACGUUUAUUCAUAGCCAUUAUUGUUGAUCCGCUCCUCCCCUAACCUCGACCGUUUCGCGCUGCAGUUAUCCCCAAUUAUUCGACACUUUCGAACAAAAUUUCUUCUUCGACAAUCUUAUUUUACAAUUCUCGAAUAACAAAAUUAUCGUCGAUCCACUCGAUCGUUUCAAUUAUUAAACUAACCUUAUUCCCUGCUCGAAUAGUAAAAAUUUUACUCUCUCGCUGAAAAACUAACCAAAAUUUCUUCAACAAUCUUAUUUUGCAAUUCUCGAAUAACAAAAAUAUCGUCGAUCGUUGUAAUUAUUUCGAACAAUAAAUUAUCUCGACAACUAACCUUAUUCCUUAUUGUCUCGUUGAAAAACUAACCAAAAUUUCUUCAACAAUCUUAUUUUCCAAGAUUCUCGAAUAACAAAAUUAUCGUCGAUCGUUGUAAUUAUUUCGAACAAUAAAUAAUCUCGACAACUAACCUUAUUCCUUACUCUCUCGCUAAAAAACUAACCAAAAUUUCUUCAACAAUCUUAUUUUACAAUUCUCGAAUAACAAAAUUAUCGUCGAUCGUUGCAAUUAUUCGACGCUUCGAACAAUAAAUUAUCUCGACAACUAACCUUAUUCCUUGCUCGAACCAUGAAAACUUUACUCUCUCAGGCCCUCUCUCUCUCGUUGAAAAACUAACCAAAAUUUCUUCAACGAUCUUAUUCUAUUUACUUUCUCGAAUAACAAAAUUAUCAUUGAUUGUUUCAAUUACUCGACGCUUCGAACAAUAAGUUAUAUCUCGACAAUUAAUUAUAUUCCCAACUCGAACCGUGACAGUUUUACUUAUAAGAAAACCUCAAAACCAUUCCCAGAAUUCCCUCUGAAAAACUAACCAAAAUCUCUCUAAUACCCUUAUAUACACAUCCAAUUUCUUCGAAUAACAAAAUUACCAAUCCGUUUCCACUUAUCCCCAAUCAUUACUCAUCCAUUGCGUUCAACUUAAUCCACAACAAUUCUUUCUUAUCCCUGAGGCGAGCGUUUCCAUCGCGGUUCCCGCCAAUUCCUCUCCUCCCGGUUCUGUUUAUAAACAAAGCCGCGUGUGCCACGCCGGGAGAGAGUCUCUCGCUGCUCCCCGCCUAACCUCGUCUAAAAGCAUCGUGGCGAUGCGUGUGCACGGACGCCGUCCUUCCUCUUCCUCGGUCUGCGAACAGUGAAUGACGCCUCCGGUUCUUUCUGGUUCGAGCUCGCCAUUCACCGAAUCGUCGACGGAGCGGCGUCUCGCCCGCACCGGUUCGAACCGGUAAACCGGCUGCCUUGGGUCCCGCUGGUUAAGUCCGCCUCGAUUAGCGCCUCGGCAAUUAUUGAAUGGCCGACCGGCCGACGAUCAGGUUCUUCUCCUCUCCUUUUAUCCCCGACUUCCUCAAUCAGAGACACCGAUAUCUCCUUCGCGUGUAUAUACAUGCGCGUUCCUCUUCCACUUCCUCCUCCUCCUCUUCUAACGUGCGGUACGAGAGUUUAACAUUCUUAUCCCCUUAGUGAGUGGAACACGGACAAGUUCUCGCGUCUUCCUCGUCGUCGAGAGCUCGUGAACGACGACCACGACGACGAUGCUCCAAGGGAGAUAUGUGAUCCGACGAAGCGGAUGGAGGCAAGAUGGAGGACGUGCCGAUGAUGCGGCCGAUUCGGAACGGAAUCAGUGAUGGCUAUAAAACGGAAGCAACCAUACAUAGGAAUUUUCUUUUCUUCUUCUUUUUGAAUACAUGAUAUCUUUCAGAGCGACCGGGUCGAUCGUUGUGCAGGGAUGUGGGUCAGGCAUACGCCCGAACCCCCUGGAUUUUCAUCUCGUCCCUUUCUCCGAUAAACAUAGAAUAUUCUCUGGAAUCCUCGGAACUUUUCACAAAAAAAUUUUCUUUAUGACGAUCAUUAUCUAAACUCGAUUAUGUCUACUUAUCUUGGAAAUAGGAAAAUAAAUUUCGUCUGUCAUAAAAGUACAAUUAGGUAACUUAAGAUCCUCGUUAAAAACUUUUUAAUUUUAUAAUCAUGUUACUUUAUCACUAUCUUUUUCGUUGUUUUAUUAAUAUUCAUUUUAAAAAAUGAAUAUUAAUUUCAUAAGUAUACAAUAUGUUCAAAAGGCGAAUGAAAAAUAUAUGAUAUUCAUUAUUAUUUUACUUAUUUAAUAUUUUAUUGUAAUAAUUCAUAAAUAAUACAACCAUAUCGUAAAAUCAUAACGAUCAUAACCAUAUUUUAAACAUUUUAGUCAACAACUUUAGCUGGGAUCUUGAAACAUACUUCAGAAUUGUUAUUUUCGUCAACAAGAGAUAAUUGGAUGGUCAGAGCAACUUUUGGAUAGGCUUUCAGAACUGGCAUCUUAAGGUAAUAAGUAGCUGCUUGUCCACUUUGCAAUGGGCACUGUCCGUUCACCAGAUUCUUGCAAGCAUUUUGUUCUGGGAGUGGGUAUUGCAUGUGGCUGUUUCCUAGGUCAACAUCUACUACGGGUCUCAGA
RNAcentral lists this long non-coding RNA (3732 nucleotides) under Apis mellifera (honey bee). RNAcentral describes it as "uncharacterized LOC107964422, transcript variant X8". Lineage: Eukaryota; Metazoa; Arthropoda; Insecta; Hymenoptera; Apidae. The record is from RNAcentral.